AAGAUAGGUAAGAUUGUUAGACCUUUAGUAGAGGAGUAAAAUCUAAAUANUAAAAGUUAUACCGGAGAUAGUUUAUUUAGGAUGUUGAAUCUGUGACAGCUUUAAGGGAAACUGGGAUUGGAUACCCCAUUAUUUUUAGUUAUAAAUUUAGUUUAGGCUUACCUGAGUACUACGAAUAAAAAGUUUAAAACUCAAAGGGCUUGGCGGUGUUUUAGACCCCUCAGGGGAACCUGUCUCGUAAUCGACAGUCCACGUUAAACCUAACCUUUUAUGGUAAUACAGCUUGUAUACCGUCGUCGUCAGGUAACUUCUUAAAAUAUAGUAGUUAGCUUGAGAAUUUGAUUAAUUAAAACGUCAGAUCAAGGUGCAGCUAAUGAAAAGGUGAGGAUGGGUUACAAUUACAUAUUUGUAAUUACGGAAAAUACUUGAAAUGAAGCAUUUUAAAGGAGGACUGAAAGUAAUUUUAAUUAUAUAAAUAGAAUGAAUAAGGCUCUG
RNAcentral lists this ribosomal RNA (495 nucleotides) under Conus barthelemyi. RNAcentral's name for it is "partial 12S ribosomal RNA". Lineage: Eukaryota; Metazoa; Mollusca; Gastropoda; Neogastropoda; Conidae. The record is from RNAcentral.